Non-coding RNA from Triticum aestivum (bread wheat), 126 nucleotides. The record is from Rfam. NCBI's taxonomy places the organism in Eukaryota, Viridiplantae, Streptophyta, Magnoliopsida, Poales, Poaceae.
UACAUACUCCCUCCGACCGAAAAAGCUUGUCUUUCAAAUAGAUGUAUCUAGCAUCAAGUUAGUGCUAGAUACAUCCAUUUGAUGGACAAUGUUGGGACAAGUUUUUUUGGACGGAGGAAGUAUGUU